This is a long non-coding RNA of Corythoichthys intestinalis (scribbled pipefish), 3099 nucleotides long. RefSeq lists it as uncharacterized. The transcript is spliced from 2 exons. The record is from RefSeq and is a predicted model, not a curated record. NCBI's taxonomy places the organism in Eukaryota, Metazoa, Chordata, Actinopteri, Syngnathiformes, Syngnathidae.
GCCAAAAUUCACUUUACUCAUUUUGCGCUGCCUUAUAGCUCUAUAUAUUGGUGAAAUGGCGGCAUUAUAGAUUAAACGCGACAAUGCGUGAGUGGGUCGUGCAGCGCAUGCGUUAAUUGCAUUAAAUAUUUUAACGUGAUUAAUUUAAAAACAUUAAUUACCCCCAUUAACGCGAUAAAUUUGAUAGCCCUACUUUAAGCCAAAACUAAAGACUCUGGAUGAGUGUAAGACAUUUUUUUCUGUAACGUUAAAUACAAUUAGAAAACGAUUUAAUCAAAAUAUAUAAAUAUUAAAAAAAGGCAUGUCCGAUAUUUUUUUGCCGAUUCCGAUACUUUGAAAAUGACUUGAUCGGACCCAAUCGAUCGGCAUCCCGAUCUUUAAUUCUAAUUAACAUUAAAAUAAUGCAGUCAUUUAGAUGAGGCUCCAUAAAAAGCAGGUGUGUAUGGAUCAUUUUUGUAUUAUACACACACUCAACACAGACAGUUGCCACAGAGGAGAAAAACACAUUUUACCACCGUUAGACACACUAAACACGCUGGAGUUAACUCUCGUAGCUGGUGGGAAAUAUCCAUGACAGUGUUUACUAGACCUUUAAUUUUGUAUAAAUGUGAAAUCAUAUUGGAGGUAUUGCCUCCUGAGCAGCCACCCUCUUCAAACAUGUUUUACAUGUCGGUUGGCCCUCCUCUAAGCCGCGGCCGUCUAUAACUUUUCUGUAGCCAAAGUAUUCCCAUAACAGCGAUUUGGUUUUCUUCGAUUUCUCCUCAAGCCGUCGUGUAGUACAACUGACUCACUGACAAUAAGCAACAACCGGUGGAGGAGGGUUGAGCCUUGCAGCUGCAAGCGAGGGAUUUCUCUUGUCACCUUUUUGUGCGGUUUUGAAAUCUUGACGUUUUCAUACCAAAGUAUACCUUGAAACCGGUAAUUGGCACAUGUCUACUUCAGUGUAAAUGUGGACGUUUGAUGGAAAAUUUUAAAACAAAGAUUUGGACAAUAUAAGAAAAAAAAAUAAUGUGGAUUAACAUGGCAAUGCAGAUGACAGUUAUCCAAUCCAUCGAAUGAUCACUGUUCUUUGUUCUUGGUCUCUAAUCGAAUGAAAUUGAUUGAAAUGAAAAAUGUGAUUUAUACACCAUUGCAACUGGUAUAUAGUUUUUUUCCCCCUCUUCAUUGUGCAUUUUUUGGCUGCUGCAAUUUAUAAUCGAGUGUGAUUUAUUGUACGAAAAAUACAGUGUUUUGAUCUGCUGUAUCAAACUCUGCAAGCACUGAGCACCAAUAAGGACAAACUUAUAUCUUUCCUUAGUCAGAUUUCAAACUUAUAUCAUUUAACACUUUGAUGGGAUGUAAUGUCAUACUUCAAUUAUCAGGGUGCUUCUUAGAUCAGAGGUGUCAAACUCCUUUUGAUUCGUGGGCCACAUUUGUGGAAAUCUCGUGGGCCGGACUAGUUUAUUUUUACACAAAAAAGUUAACUCACUGGCUGAGAUUAACUGUGCUAGACGUCCAAUUCAUUUUGACUGGGAGGGCAGGCAGCAUCGGAGUUACAUGUCAAAGGGGUUCCGCAGGGCUCAAUCUUAGAACUCCUGUUGGUCAUGUUUAUCUAUUACUGUUAAUGUUCGUGUUAACGUUCAUUCACCGCGCCCAGUCAAAACGGAUUGGACAUCGAGCGCCAUCAAUGGCACUGUGAGAAUUCACAUCCAGUCCUUCCAGUUUAUGUGAAUUGGAUGUCUAUCAGUUAUGGCAGGCAAUGAGUUAAUUUACGUCACUUUCAUGUAAUUUUAAGAUACUGACAAGCAGUGUUGUUAAUUUUACUUUAAAAAAGUAAUUAAUUACAGUUACAAAUUACUUCUCCCAAAAAGUAAUUGCGUUAGUAACUCAGUUACCUGAAUGUAAGAGUAAUUAGUUACUUGGCAAAGUAACUAGUGAUAUUUUUUUUUUUUCUCAAAAAAAAACAAACAAAAAAAAACAAAACAAAACAAAAAACAGGUCACACAAUGUGAAGCUUAAAGGGUUUGGGGGACAAUUGGCCCAAGCCCAAUUCUUUACCCUCCACUUAACUAGACACAAGGGUAUUGCGAUAACUAGCUAGUAACCUUUGCUAUGUGUGGAAGUCAUUUAAAGUUGUGAAUCAAUCGUUAAAGUUGUUAAAAUUUCUCCCGUUAUUGCAUUAGUUCCCUUCUGUCUACUUUAAACAUGUGUAAGUUUUAAAACUGUUUCAUCAUUUAAAGAUAGAUUUAAGUUAAGAUUUUGCCGAUUUAGGAGCAUUUUAGAUUUAAAAAAUUUACUUAGGUUCGCUAGGAAGGAUCUCUACAUCAGGGCCUUCCUGAGAGGUCUACUGCUUUAAGAUGGCGGCUGUUUACAAACGCAUGUAGUCCUUAAAACAUGUUGGCAAUGCAGCAGUGUCUGUCAUCUGCAUCUAGUUCUAUAAUAUGAUAUCUACCGUGUCAUGUGGGCGUAGUUUGUCGGCUAUGGCUGCAGUCAGGUAUAGGGAAUGGGACGUACUACGUCAUUGUUUGGACCCGCCUCCAUGCUGGCAAUAUAAUUCACUUCCGGGCCGGCAGAGUCAAUGCGGAUUGUAACGUGUGAUAGUGCUAAGCUAACUCUUUCGGUGUUUUAGAAAGAAAAUAUGGGUGCUUUAUUGUUGCGUUACCGGGUGCAACAGCGUCUCCUACGACAAAAAAAGGGGUGAGGAAAAAUGGACUCACUUUUCACCGUUUUCCUGCAUGGAGGACCAAAUAUCAGAUCACGAAGGUACGACGGAUGGCUGGAUUGCAGCGGUUCGUCGGAAAAGCAUUUCUUAUAAUCAUAUUUCUGCUGGAAUGAGAGUGUGUUCCUGUCAUCUCUACUCUUGUAAACCUGCUGACAACACAUCCCGAUUGGUCACCAUCUCUCUUCUUGGAUCAUUUGACAAAGAAAAUUUGUUCAAUGGAGUGGUUCCAUUUGUCCUGUGUCGGACUCAAACAAGCCCCUGCAGCAGACGCCAUCUGGGUCUGCCCUUCUCGUCGAUGAACUGCGGGCUUUUAACUUGUGAAAAUGCAAGAACUUUAAUGCACAUAUUUAUUCUGCCUGGCUAUUUAACUAUGGCCAGUGACGUUUUUUUUUUUUUUU